UACGGAGGAGGCAAGCGUUAUCCGGAAUUAUUGGGCGUAAAGCGUCCGUAGGUGGUUGGCCAAGUCUGCUGUCAAAGGGUGGGGCUUAACCUCAUAAAGGCAGUGGAAACUGGCGAGCUAGAGUGCGGUAGGGGUAGGGGGAAUUCCCAGUGUAGCGGUGAAAUGCGUAGAGAUUGGGAAGAACAUCGGUGGCGAAAGCGCCCUGCUGGGCCUGCACUGACACUGAGGGACGAAAGCUAGGGUAGCGCAUGGG
This 253-nucleotide ribosomal RNA is filed under the name uncultured bacterium. RNAcentral describes it as "partial 16S ribosomal RNA". It matches the Rfam family "Bacterial small subunit ribosomal RNA", at positions 524 to 776 of the family's 1533-position model. The record is from RNAcentral.